GACGUAGGGGGCCAGCGUUGUUCGGAAUUACUGGGUGUAAAGGGUUCGUAGGCGGUGUGGCAAGUCGGGAGUGAAAUCUCUGGGCUCAACUCAGAGACUGCUUCCGAAACUGCUGUGCUGGAGUGUGGGAGAGGCGCGUGGAAUUGCAGGUGUAGCGGUGAAAUGCGUAGAUAUCUGCAGGAACACCCGUGGCGAAAGCGGCGCGCUGGACCACUACUGACGCUGAGGAACGAAAGCUAGGGGAGUAAACAGG
Molecule: ribosomal RNA, 253 nt
Filed under: uncultured bacterium
Lineage: Bacteria
Description: partial 16S ribosomal RNA
Rfam family: Bacterial small subunit ribosomal RNA
Source: RNAcentral